AUUGAACGCUGGCGGCGUGCCUAACACAUGCAAGUCGAGCGGUAACAGGUGUAGCAAUACAUGCUGACGAGCGGCGGACGGGUGAGUAACGCUUGGGAAUCUGCCUAUUAGUGGGGGACAACCCGGGGAAACUCGGGCUAAUACCGCAUACGCUCUACGGAGGAAAGCCGGGGACCGCAAGGCCUGGCGCUAAUAGAUGAGCCCAAGUCGGAUUAGCUAGUUGGUAGGGUAAUGGCCUACCAAGGCGACGAUCCGUAACUGGUCUGAGAGGACGACCAGUCACACCGGAACUGAGACACGGUCCGGACUCCUACGGGAGGCAGCAGUGGGGAAUAUUGGACAAUGGGCGAAAGCCUGAUCCAGCGACGCCGCGUGGGUGAAGAAGGCCUGCGGGUUGUAAAGCCCUUUCAGUGGGGAAGAAAAGCCUCGACCUAACACGUCGGGGUCUUGACGUAACCCAUAGAAGAAGCACCGGCUAACUCUGUGCCAGCAGCCGCCGUAAG
This 503-nucleotide ribosomal RNA is filed under the name uncultured bacterium. Its description in RNAcentral is "bacterial SSU rRNA". It matches the Rfam family "Bacterial small subunit ribosomal RNA", at positions 29 to 524 of the family's 1533-position model. The record is from RNAcentral.